Long non-coding RNA from Apteryx haastii (Great spotted kiwi), 2354 nucleotides. The record is from Ensembl. NCBI's taxonomy places the organism in Eukaryota, Metazoa, Chordata, Aves, Apterygiformes, Apterygidae.
UGUGUGUGUGUGUGUGUGUGUUUCUUUUUUGUCCUUUCUUGGUAAGAGUGGAAGCAGACUUGUGAUGUUGUUUCUCCUGGUUCUUCUUGCUCUCCAGGUUGCAUGCCAGUACUUCCCCUUGGAGCAGGCGAGAGACUUUAUGAAGGCUGUCUCGGGCAGCAUGCUGUCCUUCAGCCCCACUURUGCAAAUGCAGCCRGAAAGUGGAUGAGGAUCYUUCUGGAGCAACGUGGAAGAGAAAUACUCCCAGAGGUGAAACACCCUUGCUUUAUCUUUGAAGUUUGGGCUUUGACAUUGGGCUGUUGCGCUACCCCUCGCGUAGCUGAUGUGGGCUGCAGAAGGGCAUCUGGCGGGCAGAGCCAAGAGUGUCUUGCUGAAGCUGUGUAGCUGAAGUCCUGGCAACCUACUCCAUGAGCUGCUCUCAAUCGGAGACAAGCACUUCUAGGGCAAAGUCUCCAGCUGUUCCUGAUACAGUCUCAAGAAGGAGAAAACCUGAAGGACCCACAUUUCUACGACCUGCCCCUCUCUCUGGUGUUCUGCUCUGCUCUCCACUGCCCCUCUGCGGGGGGGCACUGGAGGGUGGGCAGUGCCAGCCUUGCACAGAAAGGAGGCAGGAGUGUGGCUUGCAGAGGGUCACUGGUGUCUCAGGGUCUACUCUGGGAAGGACAGCAUACUGAUGAUGGGCGUUUCCCUCUCCUCAGCCUCGGGUCUGCUGGGCUUUUGUGAUAUGUUUGCUCAUGCAGUCUGCUUCCUUGCUYUUUCUUCAUUGGCCCACAAUUCCAGGGCCUAUCGCUGUGUUUCUGGUUCUCUCUGCUCUGCCYKAGCCUGUUUUGUUGUCAUCUCUGAGCGUGCCUGCAAGCUUGCCUUCCUUUCGUGAGAAGUUUUUGCCCAUUGGUGAUGUGUGCUUCUAGUCGUGGGGGCUCAGCCUGCAUGCUGAACCUCUUCUUGCCGCCUUCCAUGCAGGUGCCCCAAGUCCUGGCAGUCAUCUAUGACCAUCUGCCAGCUUGCCAGCAGGACAACCUAAAAGAGAGUCUCUUUGAUGCAGUAUCUGUCUUGGCCUCCUAUCACCCCGAGGCAGUGACCAACAGCCUCCUGCGGAGACACCUGCCAAUGGACAGUGAUACAGCGGAGUUGUGGAGGACCCUUGGUAGAAGCUGCUUUGCAAUCCAAGUGCUCCAGUUACUAGCAGAGAGACUCGAGAGGGCAGAAACCAGCAGCAGCAGCAGCAGCAGCAGCAGGAACUGCCCUGAGGAUGCCGUGAAGAACAAGGAGGCUGCUCUGGAACCUCUCACGGUAUGUAAACUGACAGGCGCAUUUCUGUGCCCUCUUGCUUGCGCCGAGAAUCCUGCUGAGUGAAAGCGAGGGCUAGGGCAUCGUCUUGUUACACAGGCACUUGUAAAACCACAUGGAGAAGCCUCACAGUGUGCUUUGCUAGGUCAGCCUCGUUUUUAUCACUGUGAGAAGCUGCAAGAGCUUGUUGUUCCCGAUCUUCAAGGUUGCAGCAGAAGUCAGAGAUCCAGACAGAAUUCCAGGCAUGCAGGCAGGCACGCAGGCAGGCGGGGCAAGUGGUGGGGAAAGCUCUUCUUUCCAACCGAUUGUUUGUGAUGGCAUUUCUUCUUAGGCAACCUGUGCCAUCUUUGAGCUGGUGUCGGCUCUGCAGACCCAGGAAGCAGUAUCCUUCUUGCUUCCAUGGUUAUUUCCAACGCUCAUGAAGCAGAUCAGCGACACGCUCGGAAAGGAGAUGCCUUCGUCCCCAGGAAGAGUCGAGGAGAAGCUGGUCCGUGUGGCGCGUGGAGAAGACAGCCAUCCUUGCAGGUGAUGAGCAAAACGGGCAGAGAUGGAGGGGGCUGGCUUUGGUUUACAUCACCAGGUCAGGCUUGUUCUUGGCAUGGAGGGACCUCUUUGGUCUGCCCUGUUUCCUCGAUGUUGAGGCAGAUUAUCAUGGUGGUUCUUACCUCUGUUCAAAUGCAGCUUGAGAUGCCAGCUUUUUGGGGAACCCUGAGAGACUUUACUCAUGCAAAUGGUAGAGAACAAAGUAUUUCUUGGUCUUGUAUGACUGAGUGCCCCUCUCAGGCUGGGCUGGGCCUCCUAUUUCACUAGUCCUGGUCUGUUUGAGGUACCUACAAGUGGUGAUGCAACUACCAAAUGGUCAUUCUAGCCCAUUAUUGUCCAUUUCCCCAACUUUGUGGGGGCCUCAGUGUGCAUCUUUUGCAUGGAAUGGUAUUCUGAAAAUGCGCAUGCUCCUCAGGGGUCAGGGCAAAGAGAUGCCGACCAUGGUCUGCUGGUAGUUCCCUCCAGAUGAUGAUUAGAAGAACCCUCAGGUUCUAGCAUCAGCAAAAUCAAGGUUUCUGUUGUU